GUGGGCAGGCUGGAGAAGAACUCGAAACCUGGCAGAAGAGAAAAACGCCAUUAGCCAACCAUUUACUGAGGACCUACUGUGUGUCGAACAUUCUGCUAAAUGCUGGGGAUCCUGUUAGCCAACAAAAGACACUGUCCAUCAUGGUCCAGACAGUUCAAUACCACACGACUUAGAACAGCUCCUUGAUGGAAAAUAAUGCCUGAGACGAACCUCCACGAUGUUUCCAGGCUAAGACAGAGAAGAAGCCAGGCUUGGACGGCAGUCAGCAACAGGAGGCCAAGAGGAGAGAGGUCUAGGAGCUAAGCCAGGAGAGGAUUUCAAGACAAAGAAAAGCAGUGAGAAGGACUGGUGAGAUGGUGAGCAGCAGGCCCCUGCUGAUGGACCAGCCCAACAAGUUCAAGGCUAGACCAGGACGUGACAGACAACAGUUCUGGGCCAAUCAAACUGACCAACCCUAAGUUUGGGGAGGAAGACUCUUCAUGUGCUUUAAAAAACCCAAGCUCUUGAGAAAGAACUGGAAUGUUUUGGCUUCCCAGGAGGUGGUGGUUGGCAGAGUAGAUCGUCAGUUGGGUGCUGCUGAUGGCAACUGUAGGACUAAAUGCCAACGGAGAGGAAGGAGUAGUUGGACCCCGCCUGGAUGUGGCCUCACUCCUCCCCAGUCUGCUGUCGAGCUCCUUUCCGACCCGAGAUGCCUUACCUGGCCAUGUCCUGCAUCUUCGCCUUCAUCCUCAGCUCUGGCAUGGUCUGUGGGACCUGGGGUUGAGGGCCUUUGGCAAUUGUGUUUUAUCGAAGAACUGUGAUGUCUGUGUGAAUAAUAGAGUAGGUGGCUCUAGGGUCCACAGGUGAUACUGCAUUCCUGCAUGCAUCCUUACUCUAAGGCUUCUGGGAGAGAAAUGGUUUGUGAUGGCGCUCUCUCUCUCUGCCCUUCUCUGUUCCCUCCCUUUCCCUGCCUCUACUCCCUUCUCACCCCCCACCCUCCC
Long non-coding RNA from Mastomys coucha (southern multimammate mouse), 980 nucleotides. RefSeq lists it as uncharacterized. NCBI's taxonomy places the organism in Eukaryota, Metazoa, Chordata, Mammalia, Rodentia, Muridae. The transcript is spliced from 5 exons. The record is from RefSeq and is a predicted model, not a curated record.